UAAUACGAAGGGACCUAGCGUAGUUCGGAAUUACUGGGCUUAAAGAGCUCGUAGGUGGUUAGAAAAGUUGGUGGUGAAAUCCCAAGGCUUAACCUUGGAACUGCCACCAAAACUUUUUGACUAGAGUAUGAUAGAGGAAAGUGGAAUUUCUAGUGUAGAGGUGAAAUUCGUAGAUAUUAGAAAGAACACCGAUUGCGAAGGCAACUUUCUGGAUCAUUACUGACACUGAGGAGCGAAAGCAUGGGUAGCGAAGAGGAUUAGAUACCCUCGUAGUCCAUGCCGUAAACGAUGUGUGCUAGACGUUGGGAACUUAGUUUUCAGUGUCGCAGCAAAAGCGUUAAGCACACCGCCUGGGGAGUACGACCGCAAGGUUA
RNAcentral lists this ribosomal RNA (374 nucleotides) under uncultured Alphaproteobacteria bacterium. RNAcentral's name for it is "bacterial SSU rRNA". It matches the Rfam family "Bacterial small subunit ribosomal RNA", at positions 521 to 896 of the family's 1533-position model. The record is from RNAcentral. Lineage: Bacteria; Pseudomonadati; Pseudomonadota; Alphaproteobacteria.